RNAcentral lists this ribosomal RNA (797 nucleotides) under uncultured bacterium. Its description in RNAcentral is "bacterial SSU rRNA". It matches the Rfam family "Bacterial small subunit ribosomal RNA", at positions 56 to 826 of the family's 1533-position model. The record is from RNAcentral.
UGCAGUCGCACGAGAACUCUUUAGCUUGCUAAAGAUAGUAAAGUGGCGCACGGGUGAGUAACACGUGGGUAAUCUACCUCUGAAUCGGGGAUAACAUUGCGAAAGCGAUGCUAAUACCGGAUAAUAUCUUUUAAGCUUCGGCUUAUCAGAUCAAAGGUGGCCUCUACAUGUAAGCUACUGUUUGGAGAUGGGCCCGCGCACCAUUAGCUUGUUGGUGGGGUAAUGGCCCACCAAGGCAUCGAUGGUUAGCUGGUCUGAGAGGAUGAUCAGCCACACUGGAACUGACACACGGUCCAGACUCCUACGGGAGGCAGCAGUGAGGAAUUUUGCGCAAUGGGGGAAACCCUGACGCAGCAACGCCGCGUGAGUGAUGAAGGCCUUCGGGUCGUAAAGCUCUGUCAAGUGGGAAGAACCUGCUUUAUGCUAAUACCAUAUUGCACUGACGGCACCACUGAAGGAAGCACCGGCUAACUCCGUGCCAGCAGCCGCGGUAAUACGGAGGGUGUAAGCGUUAUUCGGAAUUAUUGGGCGUAAAGAGCGCGUAGGCGGUUUUUUAAGUCAGAUGUGAAAGCCCGAGGCUUAACCUCGGAAGUGCAUUUGAAACUAAGAGACUUGAGUAUGGGAGAGGGAAGUGGAAUUCCUGGUGUAGAGGUGAAAUUCGUAGAUAUCAGGAGGAACACCGGUGGCGAAGGCGACUUCCUGGACCAAUACUGACGCUGAGGCGCGAAGGCGUGGGGAGCAAACAGGAUUAGAUACCCUGGUAGUCCACGCAGUAAACGGUGAACACUAGGUGUAGC